GUGACUCCUCCAAAUAAAGCCAUAACUAUCAUAUAUGCACAAUUUAAAUAAUAUUCAACCUCCAAUAUGAUAUUGUCAUGGAUGUCCAAUAGAAAUUGAGAAAAUAUAAGUAUUCUACGUCUCAUUAUCCAAAUCCAAUACAAAGAUAAGACCAAAUUACUUGCAAACAUUGACUGCAAUCCUUAUCCUUGCCAAGUGCCAACAGCUUCUCUUGCAUAUACACAUGUCUCUGUCAUGGAGUUCUGUUUCAUUCUUUGCUCCGAGCUAUUGCUGCGAAGGAGAAAUCAACAUAACAGAACUGUCCAAUGCCAUUGCUGCGAAGGCUGCAGAGAAGGAGGUAAGGGCUAAAACUAAUGAAAAGAAAUAGGACGCCGUCGUUGCUGUGGCCACAAACCUGUGAAAUCUGUAUCACCACGUGAAUUGAUAAACGUGCAGGACCUUCUCACAAAGAAGGCUCUUAAGUCCAAGAAAAAGAGAGAUGUCAAUUACCCGUCUUCGGAGAAGGACAAGCUUAAGAAGAUAGAAAGCAAGAGAAAAUUAAUGUUGAAAAUUCAAACGAAGUUGCUAUGCUUCUUCCUAUGCUGGGUUUUGGUCUUGAUAAUCUUAGGCAAAUUGUUAAGCGAUGACGAGGGUCCUUGGGGAAAUUGUUCACCGAUGUAUGUAUAAGAGAUUUUUUUAUGAUUAUUAAUUAUGAUGAAUUUUAUAUAAAUCUCAUCAUAAUUAAUAAUAAAAAAUCUAUAUAAUUAUGUUUUAAAAUUUUUCCAGAAUGUGGUUCAAUAUUAUUUCCUUAGCAUAAUUUUAUUGGUGAUUUUGUUAGUUUAAUUUUUAGUUAAGAACGAUUGGUUAUUAUUUUGUUUAAUUUUAGUAAUAAUUUAAAUAUUUG
RNAcentral lists this unclassified non-coding RNA (883 nucleotides) under Hevea brasiliensis (rubber tree). Lineage: Eukaryota; Viridiplantae; Streptophyta; Magnoliopsida; Malpighiales; Euphorbiaceae. The record is from RNAcentral.